RNAcentral lists this ribosomal RNA (397 nucleotides) under uncultured Microcystis sp. RNAcentral describes it as "bacterial SSU rRNA". It matches the Rfam family "Bacterial small subunit ribosomal RNA", at positions 551 to 946 of the family's 1533-position model. The record is from RNAcentral. Lineage: Bacteria; Bacillati; Cyanobacteriota; Cyanophyceae; Chroococcales; Microcystaceae.
UUAUUGGGCGUAAAGCGUCCUCAGGCGGCCUUGAAAGUCUGUCGUUAAAGCGUGGAGCUUAACUCCAUUUAAGCGAUGGAAACUACAAGGCUUGAGUGUGGUAGGGGCAGAGGGAAUUCCCGGUGUAGCGGUGAAAUGCGUAGAUAUCGGGAAGAACACCAGUGGCGAAGGCGCUCUGCUGGGCCAUAACUGACGCUCAUGGACGAAAGCCAGGGGAGCGAAAGGGAUUAGAUACCCCUGUAGUCCUGGCCGUAAACGAUGAACACUAGGUGUCGGGGGAAUCGACCCCCUCGGUGUCGUAGCCAACGCGUUAAGUGUUCCGCCUGGGGAGUACGCACGCAAGUGUGAAACUCAAAGGAAUUGACGGGGGCCCGCACAAGCGGUGGAGUAUGUGGUU